UUACUCUUUAGAUAUUAAACAUCGAUGUUUUUAGUAUACGAGUAAAUCAGUAAACUGUGAUACCAUUAUUUGAACAUCCCUGUAAGGCUGUAAUGCAGCUCGUUCCUUCCGAUUUCUGAAAACAUUUCUUCUCGUUGUUUACAGAUUUCAAAUUUUAAACAGGUUUUGUAGAAAUCACAACCCCAAGUUGGAAGCUCAAAGAAUCCCUUGCUCAAUCUCAGUACAAAGAUUUUAAGAACUAAAAAUUGUGGUGGUAGCUAUUUGUAAUUGGACUGGUGGAGUUAUGUGGAACGGGAGAAUUUAGAUGAAGAUGCGAGGAUUUCACUUAGCUGCAUAUUUUUCCCAAUUGUCAAAGGCUGCUCGUUUAGUCCAUGCAACUAGGCCUCUCUGCACGAAAGCAUAUGACAGCAAGGCAUUAGCAGUGAAGCCUGUGAGAGAUGAUGAUGCCUACCGUCAGCUUGAGAACCUUGACUUUAUGACUGCUGCGAAAAUGCUUUUUUCGGAUCCUCCAAAGAAAAAGGAAUCUGGGCUUGAUUUCCAUCUGGUCCAAUUCUUCUUUUGCUGCCUGCCUUCAGUGGGUAAGAGAACUUAAAUCUAACUUAACCAUAUUUAAAUGGUUCAAGUUUUGGGGGACGUUGAAGUCUGAUCUCUGCAGUACUUGAUUACAGCUGUAUACAUGGUAGCCUAGUAUGCCCGUUAUGAAAUCCGAAGGAUGGAGGCGGAAGUUGAGGUGAAAAAGAAAAAAGAUGAGGGAGAAGAGAAAGCCAAAGGAUUGGAAGCAAACGCCUCGAAAGAAAGUGAAGAGGCAGCAUCUGCUGGUGAGCUGCUCAAAGUAAAAGACAGACUAGACGCGCUAGAGGAAGCAUUCAAAGAGAUAGUUGUAGAAAAGAAGAAACUGUCUUGACAUUCAUCUGAAGAAAGUAACAAAAGUGAGAAGGUUGAAGCGAUGAAAUCAAUUUCUGAAAAAUAAAGUAAAAGACACAAAUGCAGAGGAUAAUCCUGAUCAACAAUCAAAGACACAACCAUUUAGCCAUGAACGAGCUGCUAAUUCCAGAUCCCAGAGAGGUGGGGAAACUGCAGAAAAGAGUACUCAUCCCAAGAAACAGUUGAAGGACAAGAUAGUUACUGCAGAAACCCUUUUGCCUUCGAAAGUUAGAAAUUUAAAAUCCUGUUUCCAGAUAGGUGAUGAACUUAUUGUCUGUAUACGCUGGGGAAUUCUGAAUCUCGUCUCAUUCUUUUCUUCUUCUUUGCUUUUGAUGAGCAAAUUCUGCUCAUUUUGCAUCUUGAUUGUUGCAGAAAUAGAGCCAGCGACUCUUGUAGGCUGACAUUUUUGCUGUCUAAUGGAAUGUGAAAUCUCUUCCACCUCUAU
This is a long non-coding RNA of Papaver somniferum (opium poppy), 1369 nucleotides long. RefSeq lists it as uncharacterized. Lineage: Eukaryota; Viridiplantae; Streptophyta; Magnoliopsida; Ranunculales; Papaveraceae. The transcript has 5 exons. The record is from RefSeq and is a predicted model, not a curated record.